AACGAACGCUGGCGGCAUGCCUAACACAUGCAAGUCGAACGAGACCUUCGGGUCUAGUGGCGCACGGGUGCGUAACGCGUGGGAACAUGCCCUUAGGUUCGGAAUAACUCCCCGAAAGGGGUGCUAAUACCGGAUAAUGUCUUCGGACCAAAGAUUUAUCGCCUUUGGAUGGGCCCGCGUUGGAUUAGCUAGUUGGUAGGGUAAAAGCCUACCAAGGCGACGAUCCAUAGCUGGUCUGAGAGGAUGAUCAGCCACACUGGGACUGAGACACGGCCCAGACUCCUACGGGAGGCAGCAGUGGGGAAUAUUGGACAAUGGGCGAAAGCCUGAUCCAGCAAUGCCGCGUGAGUGAUGAAGGCCUUAGGGUUGUAAAGCUCUUUUACCCGGGAUGAUAAUGACAGUACCGGGAGAAUAAGCUCCGGCUAACUCCGU
RNAcentral lists this ribosomal RNA (432 nucleotides) under uncultured bacterium. RNAcentral's name for it is "partial 16S ribosomal RNA". It matches the Rfam family "Bacterial small subunit ribosomal RNA", at positions 29 to 506 of the family's 1533-position model. The record is from RNAcentral.